This 465-nucleotide ribosomal RNA is filed under the name uncultured bacterium. RNAcentral's name for it is "partial 16S ribosomal RNA". It matches the Rfam family "Bacterial small subunit ribosomal RNA", at positions 29 to 507 of the family's 1533-position model. The record is from RNAcentral.
ACGAACGCUGGCGGCGUGCUUAACACCUGCCAGUCGAACGGAAAGGCCCUGCUUGCAGGGUACUCGAGUGGCGAACGGGUGAGUAACACGUGGGUGAUCUGCCCUGCACUUCGGGAUAAGCUUGGGAAACUGGGUCUAAUACCGGAUAGGAACCAUCUUUAGUGUGGUGGUUGGAAAGUUUUUUCGGUGUAGGAUGAGCUCGCGGCCUAUCAGCUUGUUGGUGGGGUAAUGGCCUACCAAGGCGGCGACGGGUAGCCGGCCUGAGAGGGUGUACGGCCACAUUGGGACUGAGAUACGGCCCAGACUCCUACGGGAGGCAGCAGUGGGGAAUAUUGCACAAUGGGCGCAAGCCUGAUGCAGCGACGCCGCGUGGGGGAUGAAGGCCUUCGGGUUGUAAACUCCUUUCGCUAGGGACGAAGCUUUGUUGUGACGGUACCUAGAUAAGAAGCACCGGCUAACUACGUG